GUGAGCAGCUCGCUCUCUGCAGCUCUCACAUGGUCGCCCACUGAAGCUAAGCAGGGCUGCGCCCGGUCAGUACCUGGAUGGGAGACCACAUGGGAAAGCUAGGUUGCUGCCGGAA
This 115-nucleotide ribosomal RNA is filed under the name Danio rerio (zebrafish). The record is from RNAcentral. Lineage: Eukaryota; Metazoa; Chordata; Actinopteri; Cypriniformes; Danionidae.